This 489-nucleotide ribosomal RNA is filed under the name uncultured bacterium. Its description in RNAcentral is "partial 16S ribosomal RNA". It matches the Rfam family "Bacterial small subunit ribosomal RNA", at positions 30 to 506 of the family's 1533-position model. The record is from RNAcentral.
AUUGAACGCUGGCGGCAGGCCUAACACAUGCAAGUCGAACGGUAACAGGAAGACGCUUGCUUCUUUGCUGACGAGUGGCGGACGGGUGAGUAAUGUCUGGGAAACUGCCUGAUGGAGGGGGAUAACUACUGGAAACGGUAGCUAAUACCGCAUAACGUCGCAAGACCAAAGAGGGGGACCUUCGGGCCUCUUGCCAUCGGAUGUGCCCAGAUGGGAUUAGCUAGUAGGUGGGGUAACGGCUCACCUAGGCGACGAUCCCUAGCUGGUCUGAGAGGAUGACCAGCCACACUGGAACUGAGACACGGUCCAGACUCCUACGGGAGGCAGCAGUGGGGAAUAUUGCACAAUGGGCGCAAGCCUGAUGCAGCCAUGCCGCGUGUAUGAAGAAGGCCUUCGGGUUGUAAAGUACUUUCAGCGGGGAGGAAGGGAGUAAAGUUAAGACCUUUGCUCAUUGACGUUACCCGAAGAAGAAGCACCGGCUAACUCCGU